GGACUACGCGGGUAUCUAAUCCGGUUUGCUCCCCCAGCUUUCGUCCCUCACUGUCGGAGCCGUUCUGGUGAGGCGCCUUCGCCACAGGUGGUCCCCCAAGGAUUACAGGAUUUCACUCCUACCCCUGGAGUACCCCUCACCUCUCCCGGUCCCUAGUCUGCCAGUAUCCCUGAGACGCCUUCCGGUUAAGCCGGAAGAUUUCCCCAGAGACUUAACAAACCAGCUACGAACGCUUUAAGCCCAGUAAUAGUGGCCACCACUCGAGCCGCCGGUAUUACCGCGGCGGCUGGCACCGGUCUUGCCCGGCCCUUUCUUCACCAGUUAUUUAAACUGGUGGACAGCCCGAUUUUACGGGCACUCGGAGUUCCCCUGUCACGGUUUCCCGCAUUGCAAAGUUUUCGCGCCUGCUGCCCCCCGUAGG
Molecule: ribosomal RNA, 421 nt
Filed under: uncultured Methanoregula sp.
Lineage: Archaea; Methanobacteriati; Methanobacteriota; Methanomicrobia; Methanomicrobiales; Methanoregulaceae
Description: partial 16S ribosomal RNA
Source: RNAcentral